AGAACGAAUGCUGGCGGCAUGCCUAAUACAUGCAAGUCGAACGAACACUUCGGUGUUAGUGGCGCACGGGUGCGUAACGCGUGGGAAUCUGCCCUUGGGUUCGGAAUAACAGUUGGAAACGACUGCUAAUACCGGAUGAUGACGAAAGUCCAAAGAUUUAUCGCCCGAGGGAUGAGCCCGCGUAGGAUUAGCUAGUUGGUGAGGUAAACGGCUCACCAAGGCGACGAUCCUUAAGCGUGGUCUGAGAGGAUCGAUCGAGCCACAUGGGACUGAGACACGGACCCAGACCUCCG
Molecule: ribosomal RNA, 293 nt
Filed under: uncultured soil bacterium
Lineage: Bacteria
Description: partial 16S ribosomal RNA
Rfam family: Bacterial small subunit ribosomal RNA
Source: RNAcentral